Zea mays is the source of this 1438-nucleotide long non-coding RNA. RefSeq lists it as uncharacterized. The transcript has 2 exons. NCBI's taxonomy places the organism in Eukaryota, Viridiplantae, Streptophyta, Magnoliopsida, Poales, Poaceae. The record is from RefSeq and is a predicted model, not a curated record.
AAGCGACGGUGGCAGGCAGCACGGAGGUGAAGAGCCCCCGGGACCGACCGGCCAGGUUGACCAGCGGUCGACGAAACCGGCAGGAAAGAUCGCGAGCUGGAGGCGCCGAACGCCCCGAAUCCAAUCAAGCAGAGGCCAGGUUGUCCUGAGCCCCCGCCCCGCAAGAACACAAGACCCGGCGGAGCCUCCGGUCGCGGAUGGCGCAAAUCGGCACCGAAUCGGCGCAAGAUUACCUCCGGGAUGGUAAGGAGAAGUGGAUGCGCCGUUGACUUGGCCGGUUUGGCCGGGAGCGGCGGUGCAAUUGGCGCUCGGGGCGGGGUGGGGGCGGUUCCGGUGUUGACGAAGCGUAGGCGCGUAGCGAGAGCCGGUUGGGCAAGAUGUUUAUUGCUAGGGCCACUACCCACCACCGGCAGGAGCUGCGCCCGCUUCGCCUAGGCCUGUCCGGUCGCCUUGGCGCCUUGCCGUCUUGGCGGCUCCUUUGUUCUACGCCGCGUCUCUUGCGGCCGCAAAGGAUAUGCUGCUUCCCCACGGUCCAAGCUGGACUGCAGACGAGAGAUUUUUUCUUUCGCAUACGGCAUGCGCUCGAGAUUAUUGCCAGUCAUGCCCAAGAUGAUUGCCAGUCAUCUUCAUACAUGUGGGUCCUCGAUUUUCAUCUGUCAAAAAGGACCGCAGGUGCACUCGCAUUUCUUAUCCUCGCAUCGCAGGAACGAAAGCACCAGCCAUGGAACCAACCAUAAAGCAGGCACACGUACGUCUGGUGUUGCGUACGUCAGGACACGCAGCCCAGCCCUAGACCAUGCAUGUGUGUGACAGGGACCGAGCUUUUGCUCCCACUACCGGAUCAUGUGGCGGUGCCGCCUUAAAGCCAAGAUCAUCCGAUCCAGCACCGAAAAAAAAAGAUCCCGAAUGGCCGGCGAUGGAGGAUGCAUGGCUCUCUGCUAGACAAGACGACGGUGCGCAAUGGCGUACGUUCAGAGAUUCAGAAAGCUAACUAGAGCUUGCGGCUGAAGCAACUCUUGUGCUACAGAGUGGUUCCGUUCGUUAGUUGGUAGAGGCCCCGGGUAGAGCACGCAGCAACCAUGGUCGUCAUGGUGGGUGGCGGCCGGCCGGCGCCUGGCGGCCUCUCCUUUUCGCCGGCCGGCCGAUUCGGAGCCCACCUCACAUCAGAUUCAGACAGCCGCCUACAUGACUAGCAUAUUAUUACCAAGUGCAGUGUAGUGCCUAGUGGGGGAUGAGCGUGAGAUAAGGAGUCGUUGAUCGUGGGCCCGAUUCCUAAUUCUUCGCAGCGAAUUGCUCUGUUAGCCGAUGAAGAAGUUUCUUCCCCUAUAAAAAUGUAAACAGAAAAUUUUCUUCUUUUGACGGAUAAACAGGGACGGAGAUAGGAAACAUUCUCCAUCCCCGUUCCUCGUAAGGUCCCGUUAAAUUUGUACGUGACGAU